AUAGUGGACUAGGGUCCAGAAACAAAUAACCCCGCUUGUACGGGGUUUUUUGUCUUUAAAAUUUCGGUUUUCUUUCUGGGCAUUUGGCCCUUUUUUU
Molecule: small RNA, 97 nt
Filed under: uncultured Paraglaciecola sp.
Lineage: Bacteria; Pseudomonadati; Pseudomonadota; Gammaproteobacteria; Alteromonadales; Alteromonadaceae
Description: Gammaprotebacteria rimP leader
Rfam family: Gammaprotebacteria rimP leader
Source: RNAcentral